ACGAACGCUGGCGGCGUGCCUAAUACAUGCAAGUCGAACGAGCUCUCCCAAAUUGAUUUUAUGCUUGCAUAAAUGAUUUUUGGAUUCGGAGCGAGUGGCGAACUGGUGAGUAACACGUGGGUAACCUGCCCCGAAGCGGGGGAUAACAUUUGGAAACAAGUGCUAAUACCGCAUAAUUAGUUGGAACCGCAUGGUUCCAACUUGAAAGAUGGCUCUGCUAUCACUUUGGGAUGGACCCGCGCCGUAUUAGUUAGUUGGUGAGAUAAAAGCCCACCAAGACGAUGAUACGUAGCCGACCUGAGAGGGUAAUCGGCCACAUUGGGACUGAGACACGGCCCAGACUCCUACGGGAGGCAGCAGUAGGGAAUCUUCCACAAUGGACGAAAGUCUGAUGGAGCAACGCCGCGUGAGUGAUGAAGGUUUUCGGAUCGUAAAACUCUGUUGUUAAAGAAGAACAAGUGUUAGAGUAACUGUUAACACUUUGACGGUAUUUAACCAGAAAGCCACGGCUAACUACGUGCCAGCAGCCGCGGUAAUACGUAGGUGGCAAGCGUUGUCCGGAUUUAUUGGGCGUAAAGCGAGCGCAGGCGGUUUUGUAAGUCUGCUGUGAAAGCCCUCAGCUCAACUGAGGAAGUGCAGUGGAAACUACAAAACUUGAGUACAGAAGAGGAAAGUGGAACUCCAUGUGUAGCGGUGAAAUGCGUAGAUAUAUGGAAGAACACCAGUGGCGAAGGGCGGCUUUCUGGUCUGUUACUGACGCUGAGGCUCGAAAGCAUGGGUAGCGAACAGGAUUAGAUACCCUGGUAGUCCAUGCCGUAAACGAUGAAUACUAGGUGUUGGAGGGUUUCCGCCCUUCAGUGCCGCAGCUAACGCAUUAAGUAUUCCGCCUGGGGAGUACGACCGCAAGGUUGAAACUCAAAGGAAUUGACGGGGGCCCGCACAAGUGGUGGAGCAUGUGGUUUAAUUCGAUGCUACGCGAAGAACCUUACCAGCUCUUGACAUCUUCUGCCAACCCAAGAGAUUGGGCGUUCCCUUCGGGGACAGAAUGACAGGUGGUGCAUGGUUGUCGUCAGCUCGUGUCGUGAGAUGUUGGGUUAAGUCCCGCAACGAGCGCAACCCUUAUUAUUAGUUGCCAGCAUUUAGUUGGGCACUCUAGUGAGACUGCCGGUGAUAAACCGGAGGAAGGUGGGGACGACGUCAAAUCAUCAUGCCCCUUAUGAGCUGGGCUACACACGUGCUACAAUGGAUGGUACAACGAGUCGCGAAACCGCGAGGUCAAGCUAAUCUCUUAAAGCCAUUCUCAGUUCGGAUUGCAGGCUGCAACUCGCCUGCAUGAAGUUGGAAUCACUAGUAAUCGUGGAUCAGCAUGCCACGGUGAAUACGUUCCCGGGCCUUGUACACACCGC
RNAcentral lists this ribosomal RNA (1406 nucleotides) under uncultured Bacilli bacterium. RNAcentral describes it as "bacterial SSU rRNA". It matches the Rfam family "Bacterial small subunit ribosomal RNA", at positions 29 to 1393 of the family's 1533-position model. Lineage: Bacteria; Bacillati; Bacillota; Bacilli. The record is from RNAcentral.